AGAAACUGCAACCACCUGUUUUCCAAUAUUGCGGCCUGCGAAGAGUCCAGUUAGAGCUGCCGGAGCAUUUUCAAGGCCUUCUGCUAUGUCUUCCACAUACACAAUCUUUCCUUGUUUGAUGUAAGGCAGAACCAUGUCUAGAUAUUUUGGGAACAGGUGAAAGAAAUCAUAGACCAAGAAACCCUCCAUAUGAAUGCGUUUCGGCACAAGAUGCAUCAAGUUAUGAACACCUUCCGGCUGCUCGAGAUUGUACUGUGAGACCAUUCCACAAACAGAAAUUCGCCCACGGACCCUCAUGUUGAGUACUACUGCAUCAAGCAUUUUUCCUCCAACAUUUUCAAAGUAAAUAUCAAUGCCAUCAGGAAAGUACCUGCCAAAUGAUAGAGCAAAUUUGGUUUUUAGAUUUUACCCUCAAAUAACUUGAAGGGGAAAUGUCAAAAAGAAAAAUAUUUCGGUUUACCAACUAAAUAGAUUAGCAGCACCAUAGAAAUUUCAACUGCCUAGGUUACCUAUGCUGACUAAAAGCCGUAAACAUAAAAAAUUAGACUCCCUUGCACCACUGGAAUAUCAUAUGAAUCCCUUACCAUGGCCCAUUGAAUAGGAAUUUCAAGGCAAUAAAGCAGACCAUACAAAAUCGAACAACUCUUUCUUUAACCAGUUUAAGAUGCCUUCUUUCACAGCCUGAAACAGAUGUUACAGGUUUUUUUUCCUAACAUCUUACAGCUGUAUACAAUUUUUUUUAGUAGGGUUCCAUUUUACCACCACAGGUCCAGUCUAAGCAAAUUGUACUGCUAACCUUUUCAAAGCUGCAUCCAAGUCCAGCUCUUCUUUGUAGUUGAAAGCAUCAUCAAAGCCAAACUUAUUCUUCAACAAAUCAACCUUAUAUUACAGAAAUGAGAGGAUAGGAGAUGUAAAGGUCAAGAAAACAAAAAUAAAAAAGAAGCUAAUUAAUGAGAUUGCUUGCUUCACUUUGACAGAAGAAUAAAUACUAGGAUGACAAUUAUCUAUUUAACUUCCAUGACACAAAGGGAGAGCCAUUUGAUCCUCUGAUAACUUGCAAAAUUACCUCUUUGUCAUGCACGAAAAAGGAAAGCAUAUACAAUAUUGGAAAUGGUAAUGGGAAGCCUAGGGAGCUGAUGCAGACCAUGAAAAUAUGUAUUCAGAGAAGAUCUAGGGCAGCCUACAGAACUACUCAGCACCAUAUCUCUCACUGAACUACAUGCUAUCAGUGUUUUUCCCCAAAAUUCAGACUGCAAGAAAAAAUCAAGGAAAACAAUAUCCUUGUCCAACAAAAUUUUAUCCCUAAAUUCAGUCAAGAUUUUUUACAAGCUUCUAACCAUGAAAUAGACAGAGUAUUGUAAAAGGAACUGGAUGUCCAGAUACUUGUUCAUUGCAACAACUUCCAAGUAAUGGAACGACAGAAAAUUCAUAUGGACAAAAGGACUAACCUUAAAAUUUCCUACGGACAAAAGGAUGUAAAAUCUUUGUCAAAUGCUGGUGUUUUCUGUAAGUCUUAUGUUUUCUAGGCUAUUCAGAUGUUGUUUUUUGGAAACUGAUUAGAAUGCAUUUACUUGUAGGCUACUUCCAAACUUAGAUCCUCAUUGGUACAUUAUUAGAAGAGUAAGCUUUCAAGAGAAUAUGUUUGGAUGCAAGAAACACCCCCCUUUUCAUGGUGCCUAAGAUUUGUGCGACGCUGAAAUUCCCAGGAACCUAUUGAAUAGAACAUUUACGUACCAUCUUUUUCUGGCUCUUCCAGUUAAUAUAUUUUGCUUGCCAUUUGGCAGCCUUCGACCAGCUUUCUAACUAGCAAAGAGCUUUUUAGUCUUUGGUAUAAUAACUUAUUAUUCAAGCAGGUUUGCAAUUCCAAGUUUUAUUGUGUUCCAGACUUUGAAAAGCAAUAGCAUCAGAUUAGACCGAGAAGCAGUGCCAAAUAAAACAGGAAAAACACUAAUAACCAUAAACAUUCACUAAGGAGACAUACCUUGUCUUUGCUUCCAGCACUUCCAACAACAUAGCAACCUAACAACUUUGCAAACUGCCCAACAAGCUGACCAACCGCACCAGAGGCUGCUGAUAUGAAAACAAACUCCCCUUUCUUAGGAGAGCAUAUUUCAUAGAAGCCAGCAUAAGCAGUCAAACCCGGCAUUCCUAGAAGAAGAAAUCAUAAUGGAAACCAAUGAUAGUUACGGUAAUAUCUAUAUCAGCAGUGUCUCACCCUAGUUGCCCUGAACCUUGUGAGGUUAAGAACCGCAGAUGGCCUUCUAAACCUCAAAAGGUUGAUGAACAACAGCCAGUGAAAUCAUUUUCUGAGAUCAUUGACCAUACCGAAUGAUGAAUCAAGACAAAGAAGCAUCUGAAGAGAUAAAAGGCAAGCAUGUCUACUCUUAGGACACAAUGUAUCACAUUUUAGCCAACAAAUUAAUAUCCUGACAUGACUAGAAGAAUCAAUAACAGCCCUACACCAUGCACACUAUAAGAAGUUGGUCUCAUUUCUCUUGAGCCACAUAUCAUCAUCAACAUAAUCAUAACAAAUGUAAGCUUCCCACACCCCAUUCAAUAACUCGAACUUUACUGAGUUCUAAACACAAUAGUUUGGUUUUCUAGAAUUCUCAAAAAAUCAAACAAAACAUUAAAAAUUUCAAUCAAUUUAUUAGCACCAACAAUGAUCUGAUUUCAUAAAUAGAACAGUUACAAAAGCCGAAAAGGCUUACCAAGAAUUCCAAUAUAAUAGGAAAGGGGCACAUCUUUGUCAUGGAUUUUAAAUAGUGUCUCUGUUGCUGUAAUCAGACUGUACUCUUCCCAUCCAGUCAUUCCCCAAAUGAAGUCCCCCUUUUUAUAAUCCGGAUGCCUUGAAUCCAAAACUUUAGCCACUCCACGCCCACUUAUAGGCUACAUUCAUACAAAUUCCAAGCAAAAACAAUGUCACAUCUUACUUCAGUAAGACACAAACAACAAAAUCUAUUAGUUUAUGAGCUAAAGUAAGCUAUUCUCUCCAUAAUUUCCAUCCACUUCAAAGCAAGUAAAUUUACACAAAACAUCCACAAAAGCUACAGCUUCAUUGUAUAAUUAAGAACAAAACCAUGUUACAAAAUUAAUUACAAAAACUCAGUUGCUGAAACAAAUUAAAAAAUGCAAUCUUUACUUCAAAACAUGCUAAAAGCAAGAGAAACAGUGAUAAAACUCAAAUGGAUCUAAGGUAACUCACCGAACCAGGCUUCAAGGGAGAAAUAUAAGAGCCCUGAAAGUUUCUCAUUCGGUUUCUCAUGUAAGGAUCACAAGACAAGUAAAGAUUUUUUACAAGAACACCGUUAGUACAAUCUUCUGGGACCUUGAGUUUGAUAGUACUAGUAGUGAUGUACAUGUCUGACUCUUUAAGAACACCAGGCACGUAGUCCUUGAAGAUCACUUGCUUGUUGCUCACCACUUCACCAUCAUCACUUUCCAUUUUCACUUCACAGUUGUUGCUUCAGUUUGUCUCUGUAAUGUAGACAGAGGAGAGUGGUUUGUUAAGGGAUAACAUGGACGACUGGUCACAGGAGUGACUAGCUAUGUUACGUCAUCCACUGCGGGUUAAAUAAUCAAUUUUUUUUAAAAAAAACUUUUAAAUAAAAUAAAAAAGAGGAUAUUAUUUUAUAUAUAUUUUUUAGUUUUUAUUUUUUUAACCUGUUAGUCACUUUAUUUUAUAUUUAAACCAAAAAAAAUUAUUAUCCUAUAUUGACAAAAAAUAAAUAUAAACUAAAAUGUUUUAAAUCUUACAUGAAAAAAAAACAUAUUCUUAUAGUAUUUAUACAAUAAACUAUAAAAUGAAUUAAUAACCAACUGAAAAGUAUGGAAAAAAAAAUCUAGAGUAUGAGAAAAAAUACAUUUGAAAAAAAAAGAUCCUUUCUGGAUUUUUGCCGGAUCACCCGAGUUUUGGGUUGACCCGGUAGGUUGACUGGUUUACUCAGGGUCAAUUGCAGGUUUAGAUUUUGAAUGAAACAUACCCACCCAAUGCUGCUGGGUCUGGCCUCCUAGCAAGACCUAAAGCGUUGGGUUCUGUUCUGGGCAUGGCCCAAGCUGUUAGGUCCUGGUGGUAAAAGGGUCCAAUUGGGUGUUGGGUUAUGGUGGUAGGCAGGGCCCAAAACUGUUGGGUUCUAAUGAGGUAGGAGGUAGGGUCCAUCGUUGUUGAAUCCUAGUUGUUGGGUCGUGGUGUGUGAGAGACUGUUAUUGUUAUUACUACUUUGGGUCCUACACCCAAUUGGGUCCUGCACCGGUAGGACCUUAUGCUAUUUUGGGUCCUGCACACGUCAAGAUCCAAAGCAAUUUUGAGUCCUACAUCAAUAAGACCCAGAGUUAUUUUGGGUCAUACACCUAACAGGACCCAAUACCCAAUUAGGUCCUGCACUCGACAGGACCUAGGGCCCAAUUGGGCGUUGGGUCAUGGUGAAGUGGGAGGCACGACCCAAAGUUGUUGGGUCCUGGUUAUGAGGCCCAAUGUUGUUAGAUCCUGGUGAGGUGGGAGGCAAAGCCCACUGUUGUUGAAUCCUAGCUGCUGGGUCGUGGUGGGUGGGAGGUUGUUAUUUUUAUUACUUCUUUGGAUCCUGCACCCGGUAGAAACCAACACUCAAAUGGGUCCUACACCGGCAGGACCCAAUGCUAUUUUGGGUCUUGCACACUUCAGGAUCCAAAGCAAUUUUAGGUCUUGCAUCAGCAUAACCCAGAGUUAUUGUGGGUCUUGCACCUGGCAGGACCCAACACCCACAUGGGGCCUGCACCAGGCAAGAGGACCCAAAGUUAUUUUGAGUCCUGCACAUGUUAGGAACCAAAGCAAUUGUGGGUCCUGCACUCGGCAUGACCCAUAGGUAUUAUGGGUCCUGCACCUGGCAGGACCCAACACCUAAUUAGGUCCUGCACACGUCAGGACCAAAGCAAUUGUGGGUCCUUCACCUGAUAGGACCUAACACCCAAUUAGGUCCUGCACACGUCAGGACCCAAAGAAAUUUAGGUGCAGGACCCAACUCUAAUAGUUCUUGUAGGGGAUUGGAUCUAACACAUAAUUUAUUUAUGUAUUUAAUAAUAUAUAUAAUUCAAAACUACUGCAUAAAAAAUCUAAAGAUAAUAAAACAUUGAUAAAACUUUGAAUCUCAUAUACUAAUGUUAUAAAAUUAAAAUAUCUUCUAUUACUCAAAAUAAAAUCUCUUAUACAAUACCAAAAAUAUAAAAUAUGAGCUCCAUCAACUUUAUUAUGACAAUAUUAUAGAACAAAAUUAAAAAAAAUUUAAAUUUUUUUCAAAGUACUUUUAAAACUAUAGGUCAGGUGCACUUUUCAAGCCCCGAGAUUCUUGGGUCUGGAAAAGGAUGCCAGACCCAAGUUAAUAAUAAUAAUAAUUGAUAUAUUAAUAAUAAUUGAUUUUACUCUUAAAGUCGAAUUCUAUUCUAUGUUUUUUUUUAUAGUAAUAAUAUUUAUUGUAAAUUUAAUAUUUUUUUCUUGGGUCUCGUUUUGCAGUAAGAGACAAUCUUAAAAUAUUUAAAAAACAAUACAAAAAAUAUAUAAAAAAUUAAUUUAAAGUAAGAUGAAAAUUCAAAAUUUUGUCCACACAAUCUCUCUCUCUCUCUCUCUCUCUCUCUCUCUCUAUAUAUAUAUAUAUAUAUAUAUAUAUAUAUAUAUAUAUAUAUAAUAAUACAAAAAUAUCAAAAAAUAUUAAUUUAAAAUAAAUGAAAAUAAUUAAAAAUCUUCAAAUUUCUUGGGUUUGGCUUGUUGAAAGUUAAUUCAAAGUAAUUCAAAUUAAAAAUUAAGAAAAUUAACGUUGUUGGGUCUUGCUGGGAGGCAAGGCCAACGCUAAUGAUAUUUUUUGGAAGUGUUUCAGGUAUGGCAUAUUAAGUGAAAUUUAAUUUUAAUUAUUAUAAUAGACAAUGAUAAAAUAAUCAAAAAAUUAUGAAGUAAAAACAUGAUAUUCAUAAAGUUAGUGGUGGACUGUAAAAGUUAAGUAAAGGCAGUUCAAUCCAAGGAGAACAAAUUGCCUAGAGCCAAGUAUUUUAUGCCUUAUAUAUAUAGAAAAGUGGACGUCAAUAAACAGCAAGUUGCAAUAAAAAAGCACAUGAUGAAGAUGUCCAGUGAGCUUGCGAUGCUGGAUAAGAAAGCUUUGAUUAACUGAAUGCUAGUUUUUUUUCCUACAGCAAGAGAUAAGUGUAACUGUAAGCUACAAAUUAUUCUUAAAGCAAUAAACAUCAAAGAUUCUUGAAGAUAAAUAAGAAAUGAGAAAUAAAGAUGUAAUUGUUGUUGAGUAUAUGAGCUCAUAAAAAAAAGGAAGGCAAUAAGAAAAUAAAGACAACGCUUCCCACAAACGCUACAGUGUUAUCUACAGUUAAACACUCUGUUGGAUCUGACUGGGAGGCAGGACCCAAUGCUAUUGACACUUUUUGGAAGUGUUUUGGGUCUGACUUGUCAACCAAACCUGACAACGUUGGGUUUGGCUACCAAAGCCAGACCCAGCAGCUUUUGAAAGAGAAGACCACGUCUCCAACCACAAUUCUUGACUAAAAACACAGGAAAGAAACGCCCCAAAGGUGUUACAAUGCCGUCCACAGUGCAAAUACUCUAUAGUCAUAGUGUCGUCCACAGGGCAAUGUAUCUAUGUCCAUAGUAAAUAUACAGUAUUUCUACAGUGUUUUUCCAUAUGUUUUAAUAUAUAGCAAAUCAAUUGUGCAAGUCCACAGUUAAUUGUCUCUUAGUUCACAGUACAUACAUGUAUAGUAAGUCCACAGUGAAUUGUCUCUUGGUCUACAAUGCAUUCAUGUACAGUAGAAAUCCCAUAAUAUAUAAUAAAACAAUUAUGCAAGUCCAUAGUUAAUUGUCUCUUGGUUCACAGUACAUACAUGUAUAGUAAGUCCAUAAUGAAUUGUCUCUUGGUCCACAAUGCAUUCAUGUAUACUAGAAAUCCCAUAAUAUAUAAUAAAACAACUGUGCAAGUCCACAAUUAAUUGUCUCUUGGCCCACAGUGUAUAUAUGUAUAGUAAGUCCAUAAUAAAUUGUCUCUUGAUUCACAAUGUAUUCAUGUACAGUAGAAAUCUCACGUGGUUUAGAGUUCUAUCAAUGUUUUAAAUGGGCAAUUUUAAGAAUAAAUUAUCUUUUCUAAUAUUUCUGUGUUAAAUAAAUAAAUACUUUCAAAUAUAUGAUGGGGUUAAACAAAAACCACACCGCGUGUAAAUAAACAAACACUUUAAAAAAUAUAAUAGGAAUGAAACACAUAUCACACCGUGUUGGAGAAUAAGUUUGUUUAUUUUUUAAAUUUACUUUUUUAUUAUAAAAUUAUAAAAUUGAUAUUUUUUUAAUUUUUUUUAUAAUUUUAAUAGGUUGAUGUUAAAAAUAAAAUAAAAAUUUUAAAAAAUUAUUUUAAUAUAUUUAAAAUAAAAGAUAUUUUAAAAAACCGGCUUGAAAUAUAAUAUCAACCACGAUCUUAGAACAAACGGAGUGUAAUAAUUUAUUUAUUUAUUUAUUUGUUUUAAGAUAAAGAGUAUUGGGACCACACAUCACAUCAUCCCCCAUGUUCCACUCGUUUGCGUCAAACUGAGGCUUUGUGCUUUGGUUUUCCUACUCGCCAGCACCAACCGACCUGAGUUCCUAUAUAUACAUGUGCAUCAUCCCUUCUCUUGUCCUGAAACAUCAAUCAAACAUCUUAUUAUCCGUUCUGUCUUGUCCUGUCCAACGCUACUUGAACUUUCAGAUUGCAUAAGAGGAUGGAAUUGAAGUUCGUAGAACCCGUGGCCAAGAAUGGAAAGGAAUUGGCUCAAGUUAAUGAAGAGGAUGUUGCGUCGGAGUUUAAAAGAUGGGAAAACGCUGUGGUUGCUUAUUUUCUUGGCCAUGAUUCAACCUUCGGUCCAACUUCUUUCAACAAGUUUAUCAACAAUUUAAUCGACUCGGAGUGGAGAAAAUAUGGGAAUGUUAAGGUAUAUUCACAAGGGUCAGGAGUUUUUGUCUUGGAUUUUGAAUCUGCUCAUGGCAAGGAGUUGGCAUUGGGUGAGGGUCCAAGGUUUUAUGAUGGUAGUAAACCUUUUAUUUUAAAGCCAUGGAGUCGUGAUCUGAGUUUGGAAAUCAAAGAGUUGAAGUCAGCACCGAUUUGGAUUAAGUUACCGAAUCUGAGGUUGCAUCUGUGGUCUCCUGAGGCACUUAGUAAGAUUGCAAGUUUGGUGGGCAGACCUUUGUUUGCUGAUACAGUGACAGCAUCAAGAGAGACGUUAUGCUUUGCAAGAGUUUGUGUCGAAGUGGAUUUUGAUAAGAUGUUACCUGAUUCAGUCACCAUUGAGGAUGACAAGGGCUACAGCUAUGAUCAAAAGGUUGAGUAUGAAUGGCAGCCCACAUCUAGAUGCUCCUAUUGUCUGCACCUUGGGCAUUCUGAUUCUUGUCCAAGACGCAAAACGACUUUCCCAUGCUCGUGCUGCAAGGAAUAUGGACGUUUCUGCUGUAAGCGAAGCUGUGGCCCUCCCAGGAUUCUGUUUGGGACAGCACAAGGUGCUGCAAAUACUUCGUCUAAGACAGCAUUCGGUUCAACUCCUGCAAUGUUUGCUGAUGAAGCCCCAGUAUUUGGUGCAAACUUUUCGUCCACUCCAGCAUUUAGUUCAACUCCUGCUUCAACAUUUGGUUCCACUCUGUUUAGUACAACUGCUCCUGGUGCUAACAGUCCAGAGGAUGAUGCAAGGACUUCUUUGUCUACUCCAGCAUUUGGUUCAGCGCUUCCUGCUGAAUAAAUUUCAAUUUACCAAUCUCCAACCACAAUAAUUUGAUUUUGAAAAUUUUCGAAAAGAAAAUAAGGAAUUAUUUUUCAAACCUAUUUGUUAUCUCAAAACAGUGUUCUGAAUUUCAUAAACUGAACCUUAAAAAUAGAUUAGGGCACAUCUUGGUCAUGGAUUAGCUAGUGUCUGUGUUUCUGUAAUAAGACUAUAUUGUUCUUGAAAUUUGUAUGUCUUGAAUCCAACCCUUUAGCAACUCCUCGCCCACCAGUAGGCUGCAUUUGCAUGAUUUCAAGCAUCCAAGUGUCACCAAUUAAUUCAGUAACCACACAAACACACAUAAGAAACCCAAUCAUUCUACAACAUGAAUUCAUCUAGACUUUUUAAAAUUACCACCUUCUUGACUCAGCCAUUUCAGUCCUGUAAUUUGACACAAGACUUGCAUAAGAAUCCGUUAGUUUCACUUCAAUGUAGCGUUAAAAUCAAUCCCAUGUCACAAAACGGCGUACAGAAUCCAAAUUUUUACUUGAAAGGCAAUAGAAACAGAGAUGAAACUCAUAUGGGUAUACGAUAACUGAUCAAAGCAGGCUUAGAUGGAUCAAUGGGAAUGCCUUGAAGGUUUGUCAUUAGGCCUUUCAUGUAGGGAUCACAUGACUGAUAAAAUUCUAUACAAGAAUCCCAUUCUUACAUUCUGGUUCUUGGACCUUGAGUUUUAUGGUACCUAGUUGUCGUCGCAUUUUGCAAGUUUUCUAGCAUAAUAUCAUAUCAGCUAAGGAUGUCAAAAGGGAAACUGCAGUUCACACAUGCCAGCCAUGUAUGUAUUUUAGGAGCACUACAGUAACCUAACCUUAACACAGAUGCAAUUGAGACGAAAAAGAAAAAUAAAAAAAGCUAACCAAGAAUUCCAGUAUAAUAGGAAAGAGGCACAUCUGUGUGUUGAAUUUUGGACAGUCCCUUUGUUGCUGUAAUGAGACUAUACUCUUCCCAUCCAGUUACUCCCCAAACCAGGUCACCUUUCUUGAACUCUGGAUGCACUGAAUCCAAAACUAUAGCCACUCCAUAUCCACUUAAAGGCUGAAUAUUUUCAAACAGACACAAGCAUUAGCUCAGGAAAUAAGACUAUUGCAUGAAAAAUUGAGCUAAAGUCAUCAACAACCCUAUUCUCAAUUGUAGUGAUCACAUAAAAUCUUUUCAAUGAAAUGCUAGAUAAACAGAAUGAAGAAGGUAUGAGUGACUGACCAAACGAGGCUUGUAGGACUCAGCAUAAUAUCCUUCACGUUUUAGCAUUCUACCUCUCAUGGCUGGAUCUCAUGACAAAUACAGAUUCUUGACUAGAAUCCCAGGAGUUCCUUCUGGUACCUUAAGUUUGAUGGUACCGGUAAUCAAAUACAUGUCUGAAUUCUUAGGCAGACCAGAAAAGACAUAGUCUUUCAAUAUCACCUGCUUGUUACUUUUUCUUCACAACUCAUCGCAUUAUCUGCCAAUACAUAUAUAUGAGAUAAUACUAAGAGCACUAGACUGGACAUGUGUACAUUUAUAUGAAACAUAAAGAUGCCAAGGGCUCUCUCUCUCAAUUCUCAAAGCAUGGUAUUAGAGGUAUCUGUUUGAAUGUCAUCUGCCGGCUUUUCGCAUAUUGGUGAACAAAAAAAGGGAUGCAUAUAAUGUCAAGUUCUGAUAAGCAGGCUUUGUCACAUCAGGGUAAAUGCUGCAUUUGGUACCUACUCAUGAUGCCCUCAUCCAACCUCAAGAAAGGAACCUGUUGGCCUUCAUUUAAGAAGAUCAUCGAGGGAAACAACAUGAUCAGCAGGAUUCUUGUGUUAAAAACACAAAAUGAGGAAAUUACCUUCACAACAGAAGUCUGUUAAAAUCAUCCAACAGCAUGUACUAGACUUGAAGGACAAAUUCAAAACAUAAAAGAUGCCAAAAUGAAUGAGAGAUAACCUUGAUGAUGAUACCAUUAACUUCGAAUGCCUACGUAUCUUGGACCCUCUGAAGUACAGGAAAGAAAAGACUAAUUACAAGACUAACUUAUAACAGACCAUACUGUUCUAGCGGUCCACAACUGAACCUAUAAUACAUAAAUUUUAUUCUUGAGAAACUAUAAUAACUUUCUUUCCAAGAUUUCUGCCAGUAAAAAGUCCUUCCAGAGCAGCUGGGCAGCUAUCAAGGCCUUCAGCUAUGUCUUCCACACACGCUAUCUUUCCUUCUCUGAUACAAGGGAGCAUGAAGUCCCAGAACUUGGGAAAAAGAUGAAAGUAGUCAAAGACAACAAAUCCUUCCACACGAAGCCGCUGGUAGAUGAUGCACAUCAGGUUUUUUAUGCCUUCUGGAUCAUCGAGUGGGUAUUGUGAAACCAUUCCACAGAGAGCAAUGCGUCCAUGGAGCCUCAUGUUUAAUAGAACUGCAUCAAUUAUCUUUCCACCAACAUUAUCAAAGAAAAUGUCAAUGCCUUCAGGAAAGUACCUGGAAUCAAUCAGAAAGCAGUAGCAAAAAAUUGUAGACUCAGAAUUUGAAGCUGACAGUACUUGUCUGUCCAGAAUGAGAAGGUGGCCUAAGAUUUACUAGAAAUAGCAUGCAUGACACUUUUUUUCCCUUCAUUGAAAAUGGACUUGGAGAUAGCCCACCAUCAUCUUCAAUUCAUGCAUGCUAUAGUAUUAUCUUCAGAAUUUACUGCUAUCAGGAUAAGAUGGAUGUCUUUUUGCAAUUGGACUGCAUCUACACUAAUCAAGGACUUGCAAAUUAAGCUAAACUAAAGCAAAACCUGACCUCUUCAGUGCUUCAUCCAAGUUUUUCUCUUCCUUGUAAUUGAAAGCGUCGUGAAACCCUAACUUGUUCUUCAACAAAUCAACCUUAACAGAAAUUUAAAAAAUAAAUUGAAACAACAAAAUGAGAUUUCUUAUUGAAACUUGGGUACAUUUUCAAGAUGAAAAGAAGGAAAGUGAAGACAACAAAGCUGUUCCUAUUCUAAACAAAUUCAAAUGCUAAACCAUCUUCCUUGUGCUUCAACAUCUUUCUCUGUUUGGAAAUCACAAGGAGUUAUGUUCUCUGUUGUAUGUUAGUCCCAAAUGAACUGACCUUUUCUUUACUUCCAGCACUACCAACAACAUAGCAACCCAUCAAUUUUGCUAGCUGCCCAACAAGCUGGCCUACAGCACCAAAUGCUGAAGAAAUGAAAACAUUUUCACCUUUCUUUGGUGCACAAAAGUCAUAGAAACCAACGUAAGCAGUCAAACCAGGCAGACCUAUGGAGAAAACACAGAAACACAAUUAGUUCCCAAACAUUUCAACAAGUUUCUUAGAUCUUGCUUAUGUAUGAACUUACCAAGAACUCCCAAAUAGUAAGAGAGGGGCACAUCCGUGUCUGUUAUUUUAAAGAGGGUUUCAGGUUCUGUAAUCAGACUGUAUUCUUCACAUCCCGUUGUUCCCCAAACAAGAUCACCCUUUUUGUAGCCAGGGUGUCCGGAGUUCAAAACCCUACCCACUCCAUAACUGGUGAUCACCUGCAUUAGUUUUCAAGCAGGAAACUCUUGUACUAGAAUCCUGAGAUUUCUCUUCAUUUCAUAGAAAAUGUAAUUAAAGAGGAUAGCAUUACUUACAGAGCCAGGAGGAUAGGAAGAGAAGACACCAGGGUUUUCGAUCUUUCUUGAUCGAAUAUACUGAUAUGGCUCAAUGGACAAGUAAAGAACCUUGACAGGAACUGUGUUUGAACCUUGUAGUACUUUCAACACCACAGUUUCAGUUGUGACAUGAAGGUCUGAUUCUUUGGGAAAACCAUUGAUGUGAUGUUUCAGCAUAACCUUCUUGUUUCUCACCUGUACAGUUUCACUAGAACUACCACCAUCUGUGUCCAUGGCUGACAAUAUUAAAGACAAGUUCAGCUACUGCUCAAUCUUGGAAACUAGAUAAGGAAGAGAGCCUGCCAUGUUUAUAGCAACUUGACUAAACCAAUCAUACAUGAAGAAAAAGUGUCAUCAGCUUUCAACAUCAUGAAUGUCGUACAAUCUAAAAACACAUGCCAUUUUUUAGAUACGUGUCUUAAAUUUUUGCUAGGAGUCAAAGUGGAUUGAUAGAGAAUUGGCUUGGUGUCUAACAUUAAGCAAUGGGGGACAAGGUCACGAGAGUGAUCUUAGACCAUCAGAGCAAAGUCCAUUACACUAUAUCAUGGCCAGUUUUAGUGUUCAAGGUCUAUUAUACGUUGGGUUCUAUCGACUUAUACAGGCUUUUCCACCUUCCAUGGAGGAUUAAUUUGGGUUUGUCUAGCUAAUAAUUUUAGAUUAUAACUUGCUGUGCUUUUAUACGAGUGUUAGAUUUCUUUUGUUUUCUUUGUUGGGUUAUGCCCAAACCAAAAUAAUAACCCUUUUCUCUUCUCUUCUCUUCUCUUCUCUUUCCCUUUUAAUUGCUUAUUCAAUCAUGGUUAUAUAACUAGUUAUGUAAAUGCAUUUAGUCUUGGGAUAUCUUCAUUUCUUAUAAAAAACUUAUAUAUGUGAGUCUUUUCGAUUUGUUUCUAUAACUAAAAUUUUUUAAGUGCAAAUAAAAAAAUUUAUGCAUUCAUGUAAUAAAAUAAAUUGAGAACUACGUGUGUUAAUAAAUUAAAAAAAUAAUUAAAAAUAAAAGUUGAAAAAUUGAGAGAUGAAUAUAGAUCAAGAUAUUUAAUUUUGCAAGAUGGAACAUUUACCCGGUUGUGUUUGAUAAAUUUUAUUAAUUAAAAUAAUUUUUUUAUUCAAUCAAAUGAUAAUAGAAAUAGACACACACGUGAAAUUAUUUGAAUAAAAUAAAAGGAAAAAAAAUAUAAUAUGCAAGACUGCACAUAUUAGAAAUAUUAUCUGAAAAUAAAAAAAUUAUUUUAAAAAAUAAAGUUCAUCUAUACAAAGGAUAAAAACAAGAAAAUUAUAGAUGAAUAAAAAAAUCACUUCAAAAAUUAAACACAUACAAAAUAAUUUUAUAAAAAUAUCUAUCCAAAAAAGGUUAAAUAAGCAAAUAAAAAAAAUCACAUAUGAGCAAUAUUAAAAGAAAAAAAAGAGCAAAACAAAUAGUCUAGGCGCGUAGGCAUGGCAAGGAAAAGCCCUAGCAUAUGGGUGGGCCUUCAAGCUCAAGCCCCCGCACCUAUUUUUUUAAAAAAAUAAAAUUUUAAAGGGACAGAUAACUUGUCAUCCACCCUUAUUUUUUGAAAUAAAAUACAUAGACGACGUGUUGCCUGCAAGCCUAGUUUAUGCUCACCAUAAUGAUGCUCACAAAGUUAGGGAAGCAUUUCUUUUGGGGAAAAACCCAAUUUUAAGCUAUUUUAACAAAACGAACACCUUACUAACAUUCUUGAAAGACCCACAAACUAAUCCAUCAACUCAAAACACCCAAAAAGGAUCCAAAAACCAAUAAUUAAAUUGGUUUAGAUUUAUCUUUCUUGGCCUAGAUCUAUCUUUUCAUGAAAUAUUGAGAAAUCAAAAAAUCACCAUUAAACUUCUCUCAUCUCAUGGAAUCCGUGGACACAAAAAAAUCCAUUUUGGUGGUCAGAAAUGGCUUGAACGAUGUCUUUUUCUCUCAUCACCAGAAUUCAGCAACCUUUCUCUACCUCCUCUCUUUAAUCAAAGAUUGAAAAAUAACAUAAAUAAACUUUAGUACAAAAAUUGAAUUUUUUAAACUUCAAGGGAUCUAAAUUGUAUAAUUUAUGUUAUUUUGAAAGUUUGAGGGUCUAAAUAUAAUUUUCUUGAAAUCUAUGGUACGUUAUCUAUGUUUGAUGGUUUUUUUUUAUGGCCUAUUUUCUUCCAAUUUUACCUUUGACUAUGAAAUCUAAAGCAAUUGGCUUUAAAUUAGGAUUUAAAAGCCUGAAAUUAAACUUUGAGGACAAAAAUAAAUUACUAGGAGUUUUACAAUGUUUUGUGAGUAUAUGAAUAAUGCUAGCUAUAGUUAAAAACUAACGCCUUUUAGUUUUAUAUACCUUUUAGUUAUAAGUCAUAUUGAUGUUUGAAAGAAUUAACUCAUAAGUUGGCAGGUUGAUCUAGUUUAUCCCAAAAUUACUUCAUUUUAGUUUUUUUUUUCAAAACAAAUUUUAGUUUUUUUUUUCAAAACAAAUUUUAAUAAACUAAAACUAUAUUUUUUAAACAAUUUUUUUUAAAAUUUUUUAGAAUUGACUUAACAAGGAAAGUACCUGUAAUAAAUCGAUGCAAAAACAACAACAAGAACUUGUUAUAAAAUAAAAAAUAUUUUUAAAAAUUACCCAUAAGUAUAAUAUCAAGUUACAUUACAUUUACAUUAAAAUAUUUAUGUAAAUAUUUUAAUUUACACUUAAGUAACAUUCACUAGAAUCCGGAGUUUUUUAACUUUCGGAAAAUUAGAAAGCAGGCAGCAAGUUAGACCAAGCUCCUUGGUUUUUUUUAAGGGAAACCUUUCAAUCAUAUUGAAGCCUUGGAACUAAUAUUUAAUGUUAAAAUUAUUAACUCCUUCAAGUGGGAGACUUCAAUCUCCAAGAAUUUGUGUCCAAGUGAACGGUCGUUCGGAGUUACCAUCUGAUGUUCUUGUUGAAGAUGAGCAUGGUUUCUAUAGAGCAAGGGUUGAGCAUGAAUGGAAACCUCCCAGAUGCAAGUAUUGUAAAUGUUUAGGAAUAUAUAACACAUGGCAAUAGGAAUAAUACUUCGACAAACAGCAAUGAACAUGAUCGAAGUAAAAUGCAAGUGUUAAAAAAGUCAUUCACGAGAAACUGCAACCACUUGUUUUCCAAUAUUGCGACCGGCGAAGAGUCCAGUUAGAGCCGCUGGAGCAUUUUCAAGGCCUUCUGCUAUGUCUUCAACAUACACAAUCUUUCCUUGUUUGAUGUAAGGCAGAACCAUGUCUAGAUAUUUUGGGAAAAGGUGAAAGAAAUAAUAGACCAAGAAACCCUCCAUAUGAAUGCGUUUCAGCACAAGAUGCAUCAAGUUAUGAACACCUUCCGGCUGCUCGAGAUUGUAUUGUGAGACCAUUCCACAAACAGAAAUUCGCCCACGGACCCUCAUGUUGAGUAGUACUGCAUCAAGAAUUUUUCCUCCAACAUUUUCAAAGUAAAUAUC
This 15743-nucleotide long non-coding RNA is filed under the name Populus trichocarpa (black cottonwood). Its description in RNAcentral is "long non-coding RNA (PTRI_LNC003722)". The record is from RNAcentral. Lineage: Eukaryota; Viridiplantae; Streptophyta; Magnoliopsida; Malpighiales; Salicaceae.